RNAcentral lists this ribosomal RNA (1349 nucleotides) under uncultured bacterium. Its description in RNAcentral is "16S ribosomal RNA". It matches the Rfam family "Bacterial small subunit ribosomal RNA", at positions 8 to 1359 of the family's 1533-position model. The record is from RNAcentral.
AGAGUUUGAUCCUGGCUCAGGACGAACGCUGGCGGCGUGCCUGACACAUGCAAGUUGAGCGAAGUACUUACAACUGAUCCCUUCGGGGUGACGAUGUAAGUAUCUUAGCAGCAAACGGGUGAGUAACGCGUAAGAAACCUGCCAUUCACAGGGGGAUAGCCUCGGGAAACCGGGAUUAAUACCUCAUGACACUGAACUAUUACAUGAUGGAUCAGUUAAAGCGUAAAGCGGUGAAUGAUGGUCUUGCGUCCCAUUAGCUAGUUGGUGAGAUAAAAGCUCACCAAGGUAACGAUGGGUAGCCGGCCUGAGAGGGUGAUCGGCCACACUGGAACUGAGAACGGUCCAGACUCCUACGGGAGGCAGCAGUGGGGAAUAUUGCACAAUGGAGGAAACUCUGAUGCAGCGACGCCGCGUGAAUGAUGAAGGCUUUCGAGUCGUAAAAUUCUGUCCUUGGGGAAGAUAAUGACGGUACCCAAGGAGGAAGCUCCGGCUAACUACGUGCCAGCAGCCGCGGUAAUACGUAGGGAGCGAGCGUUGUCCGGAUUUAUUGGGCGUAAAGGGUUCGCAGGCGGCCUUAUAAGUCAGAUGUUAAAGACCAUAGCUUAACUAUGGAAAGCAUUUGAAACUGUAUGGCUUGAGUCAAGGAGAGGAAAGUGGAAUUCCUAGUGUAGCGGUGAAAUGCGUAGAUAUUAGGAAGAAUAUCAGUGGCGAAGGCGACUUUCUGGACUUGUACUGACGCUGAGGAACGAAAGCAUGGGGAGCAAACAGGAUUAGAUACCCUGGUAGUCCAUGCCGUAAACGAUGAGUGCUAGGUGUCGGGGGUCAAACCUCGGUGCCGGAGCUAACACAUUAAGCACUCCGCCUGGGGAGUACGUGCGCAAGCAUGAAACUCAAAGGAAUUGACGGGGACCCGCACAAGCAGCGGAGCAUGUGGUUUAAUUCGAUGCAACGCGAAGAACCUUACCAGGACUUGACAUGCCCCUGACCGGUCUAGAGAUAGACCUUUACCUUCGGGUACAGGGAACACAGGUGGUGCAUGGUUGUCGUCAGCUCGUGUCGUGAGAUGUUGGGUUAAGUCCCGUAACGAGCGCAACCCCUAUCUUCAGUUGCCAGCAUUAAGUUGGGGACUCUGGAGAGACUGCCGGUGAUAAACCGGAGGAAGGUGGGGAGGACGUCAAAUCAUCAUGCCCCCUAUGACCUGGGCUACACACGUGAUACAAUGGCAUAUACAACGGGGAGGUAAGCCGCGAGGUGGAGCAAAUCCUAAAAAGUAUGUCUCAGUUCGGAUCGUAGUCUGCAACUCGACUACGUGAAGUUGGAAUCGCUAGUAAUCGCAGAUCAGAAUGCUG